This 399-nucleotide long non-coding RNA is filed under the name Ficedula albicollis (Collared flycatcher). Its description in RNAcentral is "lncRNA (ENSFALG00000026721.1)". The record is from RNAcentral. Lineage: Eukaryota; Metazoa; Chordata; Aves; Passeriformes; Muscicapidae.
UCAGCAGGGAUAGAGUGAACCACAGCAAGGUUUAAAUGUGGAGGCAGCAAGUAGGAAACAACAGGAGGAGGAAUGUAGGUGAGAUUUAGGUCUCAUAUGUUUGCACUUCUAAUUGAGAGGCUGAAUUGGAUGGAGCAGUCUCCUCAAAGCAGUGGGCAGGCAUCAACUCUGGCCUGUGCAGAUCUAGGCUUUGCUCUUCUUUGGGUUGUAUGUACCAGCCUCUUGUAUGGUGAGCAUCUGUGCAAGUGUGGAAGUUUAUCUAGAGAAGUCUAUCUGCUCAGAUUCACAUAGAUGAAGGAGGCAGAUGAUGUUGUACUGAUGCCUUAAGGAGAUUAAAGUCAUAGGUUUGAGGGUUGCUGGAACGUGUGGAAUAAACAGUCUGAGUCUUCUUUCUUCCAU